Molecule: long non-coding RNA, 1221 nt
Filed under: Struthio camelus australis
Lineage: Eukaryota; Metazoa; Chordata; Aves; Struthioniformes; Struthionidae
Description: lncRNA (ENSSCUG00000013618.1)
Source: RNAcentral
UUGCGGUGGAGCAGAAGAAAAACCGGAAUCUUUGCUUCCUGAAGUCUUCCUCCUAAUGCUAGCAAGGUACCAUUCAUGGGGAAAGGAGGUACCCAUAUCUGUCUGGACAUCAGGCAAUUAUUUUCACCAUAAGAACAUGACAGGAGAUGUAAGCCAUAGCUGAAAUAUAUUCCCUCUCCACCGUUCCUCAGGAAUACAGCUGUUUCACAAGGUAGGAGUUCCCGCCUACACUACAAUCAAGCAUGCAGAAGCUACAGCACGGAACUGACAUUAGGCUGGCCAAUCAACAACUACCAGCUUCUCUGCUUUUCCCAUUUUUCUGAGAGAGAGAUUCCAUUUGCCUUUUCCCAGGACCUCACCCAUCCUCAGAAAUCUCCAUGGAUGGAAGGCUAGAGAGCUGAACUGAAUACCGCUUACAUUUUCCGAGACCCUUCCGGGAGGGACUGAAUCAAUCACAAGCAUAAUUCAACAUCGGGUAAGCUAAAUCUUAUCACUUGACUCCUUACAGCUUUCCAUCACCACCUAGCUAGCAGGCAGAUCACCCAUUUUUGCAUAACAGGGCCUUAUUCUUAACAUGACCCAGUCUCUUUAGCUGUAGCACGCUCCCUCCCCUAAGUAAGCUGCUUGUUAGCCUUAUCUCAUCAGCUGGGAGACAGCUGAUUAGUUACAGGUAGAGGCUAAACCCAUCUCCUUAAAGCCCCGACUCACAUGUGACCAGAGGAGUAUUUUUUUCAUACUUGAGAAUGCCAGUCUUGCUAAGCAUAUACUUAAGAGAAUUACAGGUUACUAGGAAACUAGAUGAAAUUAUGUGACCUAUGUUAUACAGAACAAUGGAUUAGAUGAGAAAUUGGCCUCUUUCUUCUUAAAUCCUGUGAAUGUAUUUUUAUUUUAGUAGUGCGAGAAAUGCUUCAACUUGUGUCUAAGUUUUAAAAGGAUAUGCCCUACUACAUGAGAGCAUUAUUGUCGCAAGGAAACUGUCUCUUUAAAUGAAGCCAUUGGCUUGAGAAUGGAUAUCUACAAAACAGGCUAACUGAAGCUUUUGAAGGAGUUUUUCACUUUUCAGUUUGAGCUUCUAAUGUAAUCACCUCUGCAGUUAAAUAUAACUGUAUUUAUCUGCCAUUAUUUACAAAACAAGUAUUUGGGAGUGUACUGAAAAGUAGAGAAAAGUGGUAGUGUGGCACCUGAGCUAAGAUAAGGGGAAGGGAAGGAAGAUGCAUGCAA